UCGCGAAGGCUAGCACAAUAAUGUUAAUAUUUUCGAUCAUAUUAUGCUAGUGUUCGUGGGU
Molecule: microRNA precursor, 61 nt
Filed under: Limulus polyphemus (Atlantic horseshoe crab)
Lineage: Eukaryota; Metazoa; Arthropoda; Merostomata; Xiphosura; Limulidae
Description: Lpo-Mir-1993-P4_pre stem-loop
Source: RNAcentral